GGACGAACGCUGGCGGUAUGCUUAACACAUGCAAGUCGAACGAGAAGGAAGAGCUUGCUCUUCCUGAAAGUGGCGAACGGGUGAGUAACGCGUGGGUAACCUACCCUUUGGAAAGGAAUAGCCUCGGGAAACUGGGAGUAAUGCCUUAUAAGAUACGUUUGUCGCAUGGCAUUUGUAUUAAACGCUCCGGCGCCAUAGGAUGGACCCGCGUCCCAUUAGCUAGUUGGUGAGAUAACAGCUCACCAAGGCCACGAUGGGUAACCGGUCUGAGAGGGCGAACGGUCACACUGGAACUGAGACACGGUCCAGACUCCUACGGGAGGCAGCAGUGGGGAAUAUUGCGCAAUGGGGGCAACCCUGACGCAGCAAUACCGCGUGAGUGAAGAAGGUUUUCGGAUCGUAAAGCUCUGUUAUUGGGGAAGAAAAAAAGACGGUACCCAAGAAGAAAGUUCCGGCUAACUACGUGCCAGCAGCCGCGGUAAUACGUAGGGAACAAGCGUUGUCCGGAUUUACUGGGCGUAAAGGGCACGCAGGCGGUUUUUUAAGUCAGAUGUGAAAGGCCACAGCUCAACUGUGGACAUGCAUUUGAAACUGAAAGACUUGAGUAUUGGAGAGGCAAGUGGAAUUCCUAGUGUAGCGGUGAAAUGCGUAGAUAUUAGGAGGAACACCGGUGGCGAAGGCGGCUUGCCGGACAAAUACUGACGCUGAGGACGAACGCUGGCGGUAUGCUUAACACAUGCAAGUCGAACGAGAAGGAAGAGCUUGCUCUUCCUGAAAGUGGCGAACGGGUGAGUAACGCGUGGGUAACCUACCCUUUGGAAAGGAAUAGCCUCGGGAAACUGGGAGUAAUGCCUUAUAAGAUACGUUUGUCGCAUGGCAUUUGUAUUAAACGCUCCGGCGCCAUAGGAUGGACCCGCGUCCCAUUAGCUAGUUGGUGAGAUAACAGCUCACCAAGGCCACGAUGGGUAACCGGUCUGAGAGGGCGAACGGUCACACUGGAACUGAGACACGGUCCAGACUCCUACGGGAGGCAGCAGUGGGGAAUAUUGCGCAAUGGGGGCAACCCUGACGCAGCAAUACCGCGUGAGUGAAGAAGGUUUUCGGAUCGUAAAGCUCUGUUAUUGGGGAAGAAAAAAAGACGGUACCCAAGAAGAAAGUUCCGGCUAACUACGUGCCAGCAGCCGCGGUAAUACGUAGGGAACAAGCGUUGUCCGGAUUUACUGGGCGUAAAGGGCACGCAGGCGGUUUUUUAAGUCAGAUGUGAAAGGCCACAGCUCAACUGUGGACAUGCAUUUGAAACUGAAAGACUUGAGUAUUGGAGAGGCAAGUGGAAUUCCUAGUGUAGCGGUGAAAUGCGUAGAUAUUAGGAGGAACACCGGUGGCGAAGGCGGCUUGCCGGACAAAUACUGACGCUGA
RNAcentral lists this ribosomal RNA (1416 nucleotides) under uncultured bacterium. RNAcentral describes it as "bacterial SSU rRNA". The stretch from base 691 to 1416 matches the Rfam family "Bacterial small subunit ribosomal RNA", at positions 1 to 749 of the family's 1533-position model. The record is from RNAcentral.